This is a non-coding RNA of Mus caroli (Ryukyu mouse), 6578 nucleotides long. Lineage: Eukaryota; Metazoa; Chordata; Mammalia; Rodentia; Muridae. The record is from RefSeq and is a predicted model, not a curated record.
AUGGCUGAGUCCUCCGAGGAUCGAAUUUCUGAGAUUGAUUAUGAAUUUCUCUCUGAGCUCUCUGUUCUUCUCGGGGUGGAUGCAGUUCAGCUGGCAAAGAGCCAAGAAGAAGAAGAGCAUAAAGAACGGAUGAAAAUGAAGAAAGGUUUUAACUCACAGAUGCGCAGUGAAGCCAAACGACUAAAGACUUUUGAGACCUAUGACACGUUCAGAUCAUGGACGCCACAGGAGAUGGCAGCUGCUGGGUUUUACUACACAGGCGUGAAACGUGGGGUUCAGUGCUUUUGCUGUAGCUUAAUCCUCUUUGGUAAUAGCCUCAGGAAACUUCCCAUAGAAGUUCACAAGAAAUUACGACCAGAAUGUAAGUUCCUUCUGGGCAAAGAUGUUGGUAACAUUGGCAAGUAUGACAUCCGGGUGAAGAGUCCAGAGAAGAUGCUGAGAGGUGGCAAAGCAAGGUACCAUGAAGAGGAGGCCAGACUGGAGUCCUUUGAGGACUGGCCAUUUUAUGCCCAUGGGACAUCACCACAUGUACUCUCAGCAGCUGGCUUUGUCUUUACAGGUAAAAGGGACACUGUGCAGUGUUUCUCCUGUGGCGGAAGCUUGGGCAACUGGGAAGAAGGAGAUGACCCCUGGAAGGAGCAUGCCAAGUGGUUCCCCAAAUGUGAAUUUCUUCAAAGUAAGAAAUCCUCAGAGGAAAUUGCCCAGUAUAUUCAAGGCUACAAGGGAUUUGUUCAUGUAACGGGAGAACAUUUUGUGAAGUCCUGGGUCAGAAGAGAAUUACCUAUGGUAUCAGCUUACUGCAAUGACAGUGUCUUCGCUAAUGAAGAACUAAGGAUGGACAUGUUUAAGGACUGGCCCCAAGAAUCACCUGUGGGUGUUGAAGCUCUAGUCAGAGCAGGCUUUUUCUACACUGGCAAAAAGGACAUUGUCCGGUGUUUUUCUUGUGGAGGAUGUUUGGAGAAGUGGGCAGAAGGUGAUGACCCAAUGGAAGAUCACAUCAAGUUUUUUCCCGAAUGUGUAUUUCUUCAAACCUUGAAGUCCUCUGCAGAAGUAAUUCCAACCCUUCAGAGCCAAUAUGCACUUCGAGAAGCCAUGGAAAGGACAAGUGAAAGCAACCACGAUGAUGCAGCAGCAGUCCAUUCUACAGUGGUGGACUUGGGUAGGAGUGAAGCCCAGUGGUUUCAAGAGGCCAGGAGUCUGAGUGAGCAGCUGAGAGAUACCUACACCAAAGCCACUUUCCGCCACAUGAACUUGCCAGAAGUGUGCUCCAACCUCGGCACUGAUCACUUGCUUGGCUGCGAUGUGUCCAUCAUUUCAAAACACAUCAGCCAGCCUGUGCAGGGGGCCCUGACGAUCCCUGAGGUAUUCUCCAAUCUCAGCUCUGUCAUGUGUGUGGAGGGGGAAACUGGCAGUGGAAAGACAACCUUCCUGAAGAGGAUAGCUUUUCUCUGGGCAUCAGGAUGCUGUCCCCUGUUGUACAGGUUCCAGCUGGUCUUCUACCUCUCCCUCAGUUCCAUCACACCAGACCAGGGACUGGCCAACAUCAUCUGUGCCCAACUCCUAGGGGCAGGAGGCUGCAUUAGUGAAGUGUGUCUGAGCAGCAGCAUCCAGCAGUUACAACACCAGGUGCUGUUCCUGUUGGAUGACUUCAGCGGGCUGGCCUCACUCCCCCAAGCCCUCCACACACUGAUUACAAAAAACUACUUGUCACGGACCUGCUUAUUGAUCGCUGUGCAUACAAACAGGGUCAGAGACAUCCGCCCAUACCUAGGUACAAGUCUAGAGAUCCAAGAGUUUCCCUUCUAUAAUACUGUCUCUGUGUUACGGAAGUUUUUUUCACAUGACAUAAUCUGUGUGGGAAAGCUUAUACUUUACUUUAUUGAUAAUAAAGAUUUACAGGGAGUUUACAAGACCCCUCUCUUCGUAGCAGCAGUAUGUACUGACUGGAUUCAAAAUGCAUCUGCCCAGGAUAACUUUCAAGAUGUGACACUUUUCCAGUCCUACAUGCAAUACCUGUCCUUAAAAUACAAAGCUACAGCUGAGCCUCUCCAGGCCACUGUGUCCUCAUGUGGGCAGCUGGCCUUGACAGGGCUUUUCUCAUCGUGCUUUGAGUUCAAUAGUGAUGACCUGGCAGAGGCAGGAGUUGAUGAAGAUGAAAAGCUUACCACCUGUUUGAUGAGCAAAUUCACCGCCCAGAGACUGAGACCAGUCUACCGGUUUUUAGGUCCUCUGUUCCAGGAGUUUCUUGCUGCCAUGAGACUGAGUGAACUCCUGAGUUCAGAUAGGCAGGAAGACCAAGAUCUUGGACUUUAUUAUUUGAGACAAAUUGAUUCACCUCUGAAGGCUAUAAACUCCUUUAACAUAUUUUUGUAUUAUGUCUCCAGCCACUCUUCAUCAAAGGCAGGGCCAACAGUUGUAUCUCAUUUGCUUCAGUUGGUGGAUGAGAUAGAGUCACUGGAGAACAUGUCUGAAAAUGAGGAUUACAUGAAGCUCCAUCCACAAACUUUUCUAUGGUUUCAGUUUGUUAGAGGGUUGUGGCUGGUGUCUCCUGAAUCUUUCUCUUCAUUCGUUUCAGAACAUUUAUUGCGCCUUGCUCUAAUCUUUGCUUAUGAAAGCAACACAGUUGCUGAAUGCUCUCCAUUUAUUUUGCAAUUCCUUCAAGGAAGAACACUGGCUUUAAGAGUACUGAAUUUACAAUACUUUAGGGACCACCCAGAAAGCCUGUUACUGUUGAGGAGUUUAAAGGUUUCCAUAAAUGGAAAUAAAAUGUCAUCUUAUGUAGAUUAUUCAUUCAAGACAUAUUUUGAAAACUUACAGCCACCAGCUAUAAAUGAGGAGUAUACAUCUUCCUUUGAGCAUAUAAGUGAGUGGAGGAGAAAUUUUGCUCAAGAUGAGGAGAUCAUAAAAAACUAUGAAAAUAUCCGGCCCAGAGCCCUACCAGACAUCAGUGAAGGGUACUGGAAACUGUCCCCCAAGCCAUGCAAGAUCCCCAAGCUGGAAGUUCAAGUGAACAACACGGAUGCAGCAGAUCAAGCACUGCUCCAGGUCCUCAUGGAAGUCUUCUCAGCUUCACAGAGUAUUGAAUUCUGUUUAUUCGACAGCAGUGGCUUCCUAGAAAGCAUCCGCCCAGCUCUGGAACUGAGUAAGACCUCUGUCACCAAGUGUUCCAUGUCCAGGCUGGAGCUCAGCAGAGCAGAACAGGAGCUGCUUCUCACCCUGCCUGCCCUGCAGUCUCUGGAGGUCUCAGAGACAAACCAGUUACCAGAUCAGCUCUUCCAUAACUUGCACAAUUUCCUGGGACUGAAAGAACUGUGUGUGAGACUAGAUGGCAAACCGGAUGUGCUCUCAGUCCUUCCUGGAGAGUUCCCAAACCUCCACCACAUGGAGAAGUUAUCCAUUGAAACCUCCACGGAGUCUGACCUCUCCAAACUAGUUAAAUUCAUCCAGAACUUUCCAAAUCUCCAUGUUUUCCAUCUGAAAUGUGAUUUCCUUUCAAAUUGUGAGUCUCUCAUGGCUGUGCUUGCUUCCUGCAAGAAACUCAGAGAGAUUGGGUUUUCUGGACGAUGCUUUGAAGCCAUGCCCUUUGUCAACAUUUUGCCAAAUUUUGUUUCUCUGAAGAUACUGAAUCUUAAAGAUCAACAAUUUCCAGAUAAGGAAACAUCAGAAAAGUUUGCCCAGGCUCUGGGUUCUCUCAGGAACCUGGAGGAACUGCUCGUUCCCACUGGGGACGGGAUUCACCAAGUGGCCAAACUGAUUGUCCAGCAGUGUCUGCAGCUUCCAUGCCUCCGAGUUCUCACCUUUCACAAUAUCUUGGACGAUGACAGUGUGAUUGAAAUUGCCAGGGUGGCAACCAGCGGAGGUUUCCAGAAACUUGAGAACUUAGAUAUUUCAAUGAAUCACAAGAUUACCGAGGAAGGAUACAGACAUUUCUUUCAAGCCCUGGACAACUUGCCAAACUUGCAAGAGCUGAACAUCUGCAGGAAUAUCCCAGGAUGCAUUCAAGUUCAGGCCACCACUGUCAAGGCUCUGGGUCAGUGUGUGUCCCGACUGCCCAGCCUCAUCAGACUGCACAUGCUCAGUUGGCUCCUGGAUGAAGAGGACAUGAAAGUGAUUAAUGAUGUGAAGGAAAGACACCCCCAGUCCAAACGCUUGAUUAUCUUCUGGAAAUUGAUAGUCCCAUUCUCUCCUGUUGUCCUGGAGUAAAGGAUGCUCCUGAAGACUACCGACAGUUCAGAAUACCUAAAACUCCUAAAAUUCUAGCUGAGCAUGAUGGUACACACCUGUACUUCAACAUUUAGGAUAAUGAUGUGGGAGAGUCAGGAAAGACAGCCUGAAGUUACAUUUUAUCACUCUGAUCACAAACAGAGAUGAAUGGAAUGAGUGGAGUACCCCAGUGGAGUACCUCAGUCUUUGUUGUUCUGCUCCUGGAGUUCUAACAAUCACUCUCGUAUCUUUUCCUUCUUUCCUGCUCUUCUAAGCACCCAGUUUUGACACAAGCACGGAUCAUCAGAUCCGCCCCCCCCCCCAACACACACAGACACACACACUCAUGUGUGCAUACACACAUACACACACAGGCACACACACAGACACACACAGCUAACUUGGACUUUCCUAUCAAAGCCUCCUGGUCUCACCUCCAUCUUUUAUUUCAAGCUUACUGCAAUGACAGUGUCUUCGCUAAUGAAGAACUAAGGAUGGACACNUUUAAGGACUGGCCCCACGAAUCACCAGGGGCUGUUGAAGCUCUGGUCAAAGCAGGCCUUUUCUACACAGGUGAGUCAGGGUUUUUUUCUUCGUGCAUAUGUGUGUGUGUGUUUGUCUGCAUGUAAAUAUGUGUGACACAUUCCUGCAUGGUGCCCUUAGAGGCCAAAGAGGAUCUUGAAUCCUGGGACUGUAGAUAGAAUUGUCUGUGAGCCAUCAUGUGGGUGCUGGAACCAAACAUGACUCCUUUGCGUGAGCAGUGAGUGCUCUCAGGCUGAACAUCUCUUUAGAGUCAGUAUUUUGUGUGGACCACAUAUUCAAAUCCUCUUACAUCUUCCUUUAGUCUUCAUCAUUUGUCAUAGAUCCCUUUGAGACUCUGUUUCCCAUAGCUCCCUCAGUGUUCAGCCUCUGAACCUGGGGAUUCUGCAGCCACUUCAUCCAACAGACACAUCCCACUGGCACAGAUGAUCUUCUUCUCACAUGGUCUCAACGCUUGUCUCCUUGCCAGCCUUCAAGUCUCAUGGAUGACGUGCUUCUGAUUCUAGUUAAAUAUAGCUGGCAGUGAUAUGGGGAGAGACAAGUGAUUCUUCAUAAUCUAGCUUGCAUAGAGACUCUUAAAUUUGUUCUUCUGCCCCACCCCAGCUAUGAGUAUAUUCUUUCUGAUUUACUCAGGAAGCACUUGCUUUUCAGUUGCUUGUCUGUGAAUGUCCAGUAAAAUCUGGAGUUGUCUUCCUGUGAGUUGGCAGCUGUAGGUGCUGUUUAACUGACCUCAUUCCUUUUCCUAGGCAAAAGGGACAUUGUCCAGUGUUUUUCCUGUGGAGGAUGUAUGGAGAAGUGGGCAGAAGGUGACGACCCAAUAGAAGAUCACACCAAGUUUUUUCCCAAGUGAGCAAAAUGACUUCUCUUGACUGUGAAUGUGCUUCAACUGUUAUUCCCUCAAUGUCCAUGUCUUACCUGUGGAUGGUCUCUGCCCACCCUUCUGUUCCCUCUGUGAAGGACACAUCAUUAUGUCCCUUGCCUCCCAUGACACCCUCCCUGUCCAGUUUUUUCCUCUUCAUUGUUACAUCUUGGUUUUGAUUGGGCAAAUAUACAGACUUUUAAAGUCAGGGUCUCUCUAUGUCCCAGAUCAUCAUAGAAAUGCUAUCUAGCCUAGGUAGGACUUGAACCCAUGAUCCUCCUGCCUCAGCCACCCAAGUGCUGUUAUUACUGAGGGAUGCUACUAUAUCUGGAAAUACCAUGCCUUUCUGAUCAUUUUCAUUACAAAUUAGUCUUCCUCUUCUCCUCUUUCUGGAAUCCUUUACUGUUUUNUAUUUCUGCUGUCUGAGACUUCCCAAGUGGUUUUCUUUUUCCAGUGCUGGGGACAGAAGCACUGACUUGGGCACACUAGGCCAUCCCUUACUAUUCAUUUACUCUUGCCCACUUUUCUGCCCUUCUUCAAGGUUAUUUUCAUUUCUCUUCCACACACAAGACAACUCUAGAAAUGUUCAGCUGCAGAAUGAAAUUCAUUGUUUUUAUUUAGUAAUUAGAAUCUUCAAAGAUAAAUAUCACCACAGGUAGUUUGAAAUGUGAGCAUUUCUAGGCACAGUGAUCUACACAUGGAAUCCUAGCUCUCAGGAAGUUGAAGGAAGAAAAUCAGUUUUCUUUUAUAUUAAAUGCUUUAAUAUUAAUUAUUCUAAAAUCGAUCUAUUUUAAAUUCCAGCACUUCUAACUAAGGAAUAAGAGUUUUUUGCUCUGGUCUUCCUCGGAAGGCAUGAAAAUAUGCAAUUGUCUUUGUGUCUCUGCAGUUUCCACAGAAGUGUUCUAUGUGCACCCAAUGCUUACCUAAAAUUGCUCUAAACUGAUAUAAGUCUAAUUAUUAAACAUUAAAAUGUAUA